GCAAGUCGAACGAUGAAGCCUUAGCUUGCUAAGGUGGAUUAGUGGCGCACGGGUGAGUAAUAUAUAGAUAAUGUGCCUCUUAGUCUGGGAUAGCCAUUGGAAACGAUGAUUAAUACUAGAUACUCCUUCUAAGCUCAAGCUUAGUCGGGAAAGUUUUUCGCUAAGAGAUCAGUCUAUAUCGCAUCAGUUAGUUGGUAGGGUAAUGGCCUACCAAGACAAUGACGCGUAGCGGGUUUGAGAGGAUGAUC
RNAcentral lists this ribosomal RNA (248 nucleotides) under uncultured bacterium. Its description in RNAcentral is "partial 16S ribosomal RNA". It matches the Rfam family "Bacterial small subunit ribosomal RNA", at positions 57 to 305 of the family's 1533-position model. The record is from RNAcentral.